Rosa rugosa (rugosa rose) is the source of this 618-nucleotide long non-coding RNA. RefSeq lists it as uncharacterized. Lineage: Eukaryota; Viridiplantae; Streptophyta; Magnoliopsida; Rosales; Rosaceae. The record is from RefSeq and is a predicted model, not a curated record. The transcript is spliced from 2 exons.
UUAUGCGUCCCUAAACAUGCGGGUUAACCCUACAUGGUUAACCACCAUUUCUGGUACUAUAAAAGCUUUGUGGUUUUCAUCCUCAACCCCCUCAUCCUGUCGACCUCUAAAAAUCAAAAGCCAUUCGUCUCUGAAUUGUUAAACUUCUUCCUCUCUCUCUCUACGUUACGUGCUCUUCUUGUUUCCAAGAAGAGAGCUUCUAACGUAACAAGGAGAGAGGAAGGGACAAAAAUGGCUGUUAAUGCUGCACCAUUUAACGGAAUGGUUGGCGUCGUUGCUCUCAUUUUCGCCGUCAUUUUGCCCAUGAUUCAUGCAACCGGCCUGGCUCCGGCUCCGACAAGCGAUGGCACGGCAAUAGACCAAGGGAUAGCAUACAUUCUAAUGCUGCUGGCGUUGGUUCUCACAUACCUGAUCCACUGAACCAUCCAUCUGAUCGAUGAUUCAAGUUAUAUAUUAAAGCAAGAACAUGCAUAUAACUGGGUCCUUAGGGUGGGUGUGACGUAAUGGGGUUGUAAAUUCGUUUGGAUUAGCAUUUUGGAUUGGUGUAUGCUAGGGAGAAAUUCAUUAUUUUGGGCAGAAGUUUCAGAUUGAAUAAAUCAAAGUACUGAAUUGGUUCUC